GGGAAUUCGAUUAGAGUUUGAUCAUGGCUCAGGACGAACGCUGGCGGCGUGCCUAAUACAUGCAAGUCGAGCGGACAGAUGGGAGCUUGCUCCCUGAUGUUAGCGGCGGACGGGUGAGUAACACGUGGGUAACCUGCCUGUAAGACUGGGAUAACUCCGGGAAACCGGGGCUAAUACCGGAUGCUUGUUUGAACCGCAUGGUUCAGACAUAAAAGGUGGCUUCGGCUACCACUUACAGAUGGACCCGCGGCGCAUUAGCUAGUUGGUGAGGUAACGGCUCACCAAGGCAACGAUGCGUAGCCGACCUGAGAGGGUGAUCGGCCACACUGGGACUGAGACACGGCCCAGACUCCUACGGGAGGCAGCAGUAGGGAAUCUUCCGCAAUGGACGAAAGUCUGACGGAGCAACGCCGCGUGAGUGAUGAAGGUUUUCGGAUCGUAAAGCUCUGUUGUUAGGGAAGAACAAGUGCCGUUCAAAUAGGGCCGCACCUUGACGGUACCUAACCAGAAAGCCACGGCUAACUACGUGCCAGCAGCCGCGGUAAUACGUAGGUGGCAAGCGUUGUCCGGAAUUAUUGGGCGUAAAGGGCUCGCAGGCGGUUUCUUAAGUCUGAUGUGAAAGCCCCCGGCUCAACCGGGGAGGGUCAUUGAAAACUGGGGAACUUGAGUGCAGAAGAGGAGAGUGGAAUUCCACGUGUAGCAGUGAAAUGCGUAGAGAUGUGGAGGAACACCAGUGGCGAAGGCGACUCUCUGGUCUGUAACUGACGCUGAGGAGCGAAAGCGUGGGGAGCGAACAGGAUUAGAUACCCUGGUAGUCCACGCCGUAAACGAUGANUGCUAAGUGUUAGGGGGUUUCNGCCCCNUAGUGCUGCAGCUAACGCGU
RNAcentral lists this ribosomal RNA (883 nucleotides) under Bacillus subtilis. RNAcentral describes it as "bacterial SSU rRNA". It matches the Rfam family "Bacterial small subunit ribosomal RNA", at positions 1 to 860 of the family's 1533-position model. The record is from RNAcentral. Lineage: Bacteria; Bacillati; Bacillota; Bacilli; Caryophanales; Bacillaceae.